GGGCAGGCUCCUAGGGAGGAAGAAGAUGGCAUAAUUGAACCUCCUUAAGCAAACUAAACUCAGAACCCCAAGGACUUCGUUGGCAAGUGCUCUCACCAGUGGCUUAGAGAGUAAGGCAAGAGCUCUAGCACAAGUACCCCUUCACGCUCUGAAUCAACAGAGAGCCAAUGGGAAGAUUGGUAACAUCAGGCAGCUAGGAGUUCCCUGUGAGAUUUCUGCACAAAGAAGCUCAGACUAGGGGAAGUUCAGGCUGACAGGUGGGAUGCACGAAGAAUGCAGCCGUGGAGAGUUGUGUCUGUCUCUUGCUCCUCGAAAAUAAGCUGUAGCUGCUCUGAUUUGCAAGCAAAAGCUGCUUGGGAUUCAAGGAUUCUUGAAGAAGACAUUUUUUUCCUUCCAGCAAGGAAUGUGGAAGAGCUCUAUUAAUGUGCAGGUUUACCGCAGAUCCAGAAGAAAUACAUCUCUUUUGACGAACUGUUGACAAACCAGAGCUAGGGUAGAACCCUCCUCCCACCUCUGCUGGAAAGAUGCUGUGGACCUCACAAUUUCUAGGGACUCUUCUAGGCGCGAACCUGGCAAGUGGACUGCUCUGGAACCAGAGAUGCUAUCUAGAUAAGUUUAUUCUGAUGAUGCUUGAUUCCUAAAGCCCAGGAACAGAUGUCACCCAUUUUUCUUCUUUGAAGGGAAAAACUCUUUGCAAGAAUGAGCGCACUUCACCAUGAAACUGAUGCUAUAAGAAGCUUUGACUGGUGCACAAAGGAGUGUUAUGGCCUGGCUGCCAGAAAAGGGGGCUGGUAAAAGUAAAUGGUAGGCCAUAGUGUACUGAUUGCAAAGUUUUCUCUGUGUUAGCAUUUUUCUCCAGAGAAACAUUUAAGAGUUGCUCUGUUUUUUGGAUUGGAUACUCCUUACCAAUCGUGAUUUUUGGAGAUGGCUAAAAGAAGGGCAUCUCCAUCCAAGUAUAUUUGGUCAGUACUGGAUCGAAUCUUUCAUGUGUUGAUGGAAAAUGCACCGAGUCCAAAUUUCAAAUGCUUAUUUUGUACUUUAAAUUCUCUUAUUCUGGUAUAGA
Long non-coding RNA from Chroicocephalus ridibundus (black-headed gull), 1063 nucleotides. RefSeq lists it as uncharacterized. The record is from RefSeq and is a predicted model, not a curated record. The transcript has 3 exons. Lineage: Eukaryota; Metazoa; Chordata; Aves; Charadriiformes; Laridae.